This 463-nucleotide ribosomal RNA is filed under the name uncultured bacterium. RNAcentral's name for it is "partial 16S ribosomal RNA". It matches the Rfam family "Bacterial small subunit ribosomal RNA", at positions 28 to 507 of the family's 1533-position model. The record is from RNAcentral.
GAUGAACGCUGACAGAAUGCUUAACACAUGCAAGUCUUUGGCGAAUCUGUGCUUGCACAGGCUAGCCAAGGCGGACGGGUGAGUAACGCGUAAAGAACUUGCCCUGCAGACAGGGAUAACAGACGGAAACGACUGAUAACACCUGAUACAGUUGCCGGCACGCAUGUGCCUGGCAAUGAAAAGAGAUGCUGCAGGAGAGCUUUGCGUCCUAUUAGCUUGUUGGUGAGGUGACGGCUCACCAAGGCGAUGAUAGGUAGCCGGCCUGAGAGGGUGAACGGCCACAAGGGGACUGAGAUACGGCCCUUACUCCUACGGGAGGCAGCAGUGGGGAAUAUUGGACAAUGGGGGUAACCCUGAUCCAGCAAUUCUGUGUGCACGAAGAAGGUUUUCGGAUUGUAAAGUGCUUUCAGCAGGGAAGAAGAAAGUGACGGUACCUGCAGAAGAAGCGACGGCUAAAUACGUG